UGGGGAAUUUUGGACAAUGGGCGCAAGCCUGAUCCAGCCAUGCCGCGUGCGGGAAGAAGGCCUUCGGGUUGUAAACCGCUUUUGUCAGGGAAGAAACGGCUUUUUCUAAUACAAAGAGCUAAUGACGGUACCUGAAGAAUAAGCACCGGCUAACUACGUGCCAGCAGCCGCGGUAAUACGUAGGGUGCAAGCGUUAAUCGGAAUUACUGGGCGUAAAGCGUGCGCAGGCGGCUUUGCAAGACAGAUGUGAAAUCCCCGGGCUCAACCUGGGAACUGCAUUUGUGACUGCAAGGCUUGAGUGCGGCAGAGGGGGAUGGAAUUCCGCGUGUAGCAGUGAAAUGCGUAGAUAUGCGGAGGAACACCGAUGGCGAAGGCAAUCCCCUGGGCCUGCACUGACGCUCAUGCACGAAAGCGUGGGGAGCAA
RNAcentral lists this ribosomal RNA (424 nucleotides) under uncultured bacterium. Its description in RNAcentral is "bacterial SSU rRNA". It matches the Rfam family "Bacterial small subunit ribosomal RNA", at positions 355 to 771 of the family's 1533-position model. The record is from RNAcentral.